AGACCCGAAACCCGGUGAUCUAGCCAUGGGCAGGUUGAAGGUUGGGUAACACUAACUGGAGGACCGAACCGACUAAUGUUGAAAAAUUAGCGGAUGACCUGUGGCUGGGGGUGAAAGGCCAAUCAAACCGGGAGAUAGCUGGUUCUCCCCGAAAGCUAUUUAGGUAGCGCCUCGUGAAUUCAUCUCCGGGGGUAGAGCACUGUUUCGGCUAGGGGGCCAUCCCGGCUUACCAACCCGAUGCAAACUGCGAAUACCGGAGAAUGUUAUCACGGGAGACACACGGCGGGUGCUAACGUCCGUCGUGAAGAGGGAAACAACCCAGACCGCCAGCUAAGGUCCCAAAGUCAUGGUUAAGUGGGAAACGAUGUGGGAAGGCCCAGACAGCCAGGAUGUUGGCUUAGAAGCAGCCAUCAUUUAAAGAAAGCGUAAUAGCUCACUGGUCGAGUCGGCCUGCGCGGAAGAUGUAACGGGGCUAAACCAUGCACCGAAGCUGCGGCAGCGAACGUAUCACCCAAGACAACUUUACGGAGUUGACGAUUGACGGAGCGAAGCGACGUCAAAGCGUUCAUUAAAGUCAAGUUGGCUUAGGGAUACGUUCGUUGGGUAGGGGAGCGUUCUGUAAGCCUGUGAAGGUGUGUCGUGAGGCAUGCUGGAGGUAUCAGAAGUGCGAAUG
This 673-nucleotide ribosomal RNA is filed under the name Salmonella enterica. RNAcentral's name for it is "partial 23S ribosomal RNA". It matches the Rfam family "Bacterial large subunit ribosomal RNA", at positions 711 to 1296 of the family's 2925-position model. The record is from RNAcentral. Lineage: Bacteria; Pseudomonadati; Pseudomonadota; Gammaproteobacteria; Enterobacterales; Enterobacteriaceae.